Molecule: transfer RNA, 74 nt
Filed under: Caudoviricetes sp.
Lineage: Duplodnaviria; Heunggongvirae; Uroviricota; Caudoviricetes
Description: tRNA-Arg
Rfam family: tRNA
About the family: Transfer RNA (tRNA) molecules are approximately 80 nucleotides in length. Their secondary structure includes four short double-helical elements and three loops (D, anti-codon, and T loops).
Source: RNAcentral
CUCUCGGUAGCUCAGUUGAAUAGAGCAGGGCUUUCCUAAAGCAAAGGCCGGAGGUUUGAAUCCUUCCCGAGGGA